The sequence is a non-coding RNA, 354 nucleotides long. It matches the Rfam family "transfer-messenger RNA". From Rfam's summary of the family: Bacterial tmRNA, also known as 10Sa RNA or SsrA, is named for its dual tRNA and mRNA-like properties. Its role is to liberate the mRNA from a stalled ribosome. The record is from Rfam.
GGGGGCGUAAAGGUUUCGACGGGGGAAUGAACUCCUGGGUUGCACCGGGUCGGGGCAGGUGGCCGACCUUAAUAAACCUGCACGGCAAUAUCUGCCGACAAUUAUAACACCCAACCUGUUGCACUAGCUGCUUAACAGGCGUUCCCGACUGAGAUGUCGGUGGUAGGAAGGGAACGUCAUUCACUACCGGAUAGGAUCGUGUAAGCCCGAUACGCAGUCCGAAAUUCAGGGAUCGUCAUCAAGCUGUCUUGUCCGCUGUACAGCCUGAUGACUAAAUCGAUCAACGGACUAACGGUGUAGUAGCUCUCGACGUAGGUCUUUCGGACGUGGGUUCGACUCCCACCGCCUCCACCA